UACGUAGGGUGCGAGCGUUGUCCGGAAUUAUUGGGCGUAAAGAGCUCGUAGGCGGUCUGUCACGUCGGUCGUGAAAACUUGGGGCUUAACCCUGAGCUUGCGGUCGAUACGGGCAUGACUGGAGUUCGGCAGGGGAGACUGGAAUUCCUGGUGUAGCGGUGAAAUGCGCAGAUAUCAGGAGGAACACCGAUGGCGAAGGCAGGUCUCUGGGCAUUAACUGACGCUGAGGAGCGAAAGCAUGGGGAGCGAACAGG
RNAcentral lists this ribosomal RNA (254 nucleotides) under uncultured bacterium. Its description in RNAcentral is "partial 16S ribosomal RNA". It matches the Rfam family "Bacterial small subunit ribosomal RNA", at positions 524 to 776 of the family's 1533-position model. The record is from RNAcentral.